GUCGGAAUGCCAGAGUGGUUAAUGGGUUAGACUUGAACCUCUAUUGUUCAGUUAUCUAAUGGCUUCGGCCGCGCAGGUUCGAUCCCUGUUUCCGACG
RNAcentral lists this transfer RNA (97 nucleotides) under Plenodomus tracheiphilus IPT5. It matches the Rfam family "tRNA". Rfam says of the family: Transfer RNA (tRNA) molecules are approximately 80 nucleotides in length. Their secondary structure includes four short double-helical elements and three loops (D, anti-codon, and T loops). Further hydrogen bonds mediate the characteristic L-shaped molecular structure. tRNAs have two regions of fundamental functional importance: the anti-codon, which is responsible for specific mRNA codon recognition, and the 3' end, to which the tRNAs corresponding amino acid is attached (by aminoacyl-tRNA synthetases). tRNAs cope with the degeneracy of the genetic code in two manners: having more than one tRNA (with a specific anti-codon) for a particular amino acid; and 'wobble' base-pairing, i.e. permitting non-standard base-pairing at the 3rd anti-codon position. The record is from Rfam by way of RNAcentral. Lineage: Eukaryota; Fungi; Ascomycota; Dothideomycetes; Pleosporales; Leptosphaeriaceae.